RNAcentral lists this long non-coding RNA (524 nucleotides) under Mus pahari (shrew mouse). RNAcentral's name for it is "predicted gene 13256 (MGP_PahariEiJ_G0002719.1)". The record is from RNAcentral. Lineage: Eukaryota; Metazoa; Chordata; Mammalia; Rodentia; Muridae.
UUUGGCUUGCUCUGCCCAGCCAGGGUCUCUGGCGGUAUCCUGGCCCCAGGAAAACAGGCGCGGAUCCAGAGGGUUCCAGCGCCAAGGUGGACUCACCGUGGUGGGUCGGAGGAUACCUCUGCACCGUAGCCCUGACGGAGUUUCCGUAGUAGGACGGGACGUGGUUGCCUUGACCAUCGAUGUUAAAAAGGAAUGCAUUCUUUCUGAAACUAUCAAGACGGCGCCAGGCAGCUCAGUGUUCGCAGACAGCUGUGGCGCGACGCAACUUAAGGAGGUUCUAGUGUCAUCCGCGCCGAGGGGGAGGAGCCUGGCGCUGGCAGGAGGGGACACGAUCCUCAGCACAAGGAAACUGCAACCCAAACCCGCUCCAGGACUUCACCUCCACCCCCAUCCCAUCCCCCCCACCCACCCACCCCCGCACACCGCCGCCCCUCCUCCCGCCCCUCUACUGACCGGAAAGGGGCGCCGCCAAGGGCCGCCUAGGGCAGAGGGGCCGCGGGCAGGGUGGGCGAGGCCCGCCCGAG